Molecule: long non-coding RNA, 1318 nt
Organism: Carassius gibelio (silver crucian carp)
Lineage: Eukaryota; Metazoa; Chordata; Actinopteri; Cypriniformes; Cyprinidae
Exons: 3
Source: RefSeq, a predicted model, not a curated record
GUCGGACUACAUAUCCCAGGAUACAACACAGUCACACAAUUCGAAAGUAACGUUAAUCACCUUUGAGCACAGAGGACCAGGUCUGCCAUGAAAGAUCACGUAUUGUCCUACUUCUGAACUCCAGUCUUUGCCUUCUACUGACCUGAGUUGCUCUACAGACAACACUUUUGCUUGCUCUGAAACUCAGAUGCAAACCAUGAGAAGCAAGGAUGUGCCAACCACAACUGAAGCAAAAGAACUGUCAGUUCUUGUAAAGGGUCUGGUGUCCGUUGUGAAGAUGACAUCCUGUUUCAACGGCGACUAAAAAGGAAAAUGGACCAGGCCAGACAAUGGAGUCAGGAGGCCCCUUCCCACAAUUCUGUUCUCUAUAUACCUCUAUCACACAGUUUCAGGCCAAACCAGGUGAACCAACACCACAAUGCAUAUCAGGAUUAUUCCUUUCUGAAUAAUAUGUGCUCAAAUGUUAAAUGAUGCAGAAUGUAUAUUAUAUUAUAUUAUAUUAUAUUAUAUUAUAUUAUAUUACAUCCUAUAAUAUACAGUUUGUUGUUGUUGUUUCUUUCUUUUCAGUUAUUUUGUCUUCUGUUUUCAUUAACUACCGUGUUUUUAUUAGUUCCUAUUGUCCUUUGUAUUAGUUGUCAUGGAUAUUCAUUUAAAUAUCACAGGUGUUUGUCAGUAGUUCCUUCAUUUGCUCUGUAUUUAAGUUGCUCUAUUUCAUCUUUCAGAUGUCGGUGGUUGUUUGUGCCUGGUUCACACUAUAAAGGCCCAUUCACACCAAGCACGAUAACUAUAAAGAUAACGAUAAAGAUAUAGUUCUAAAAAUCGUUCUCAAUAUUAAAGAAUAGCAGAGUCCACACUACAUAGAAGGCAUAGAGAAACGGUAUCGUUGGAAUCAAUUUCAGAACGAUUUUUUUUUUUCCAGCUGAUGAACGAUACAACCAUUGACAGCCAAUCAGAAUGCAUCGUGCUAAAACGAGCUCGAGUAUUUAAAGUGGCAGACGCACGUGCGCUUAGAAUAAACAGACAUCGUUCGCUGGUGUGGACGCUAAUAUCGUUAUCUUUAUAGUUAUCCUUUUUUUUUUUUUUAAACCAUAGCUCCAUUUAGUGGUAGUUUGUAGUGUGGUUGCAUGAAAAGAAUGACACAAACCCAUCAGCUUCAAGAAUGGUCAUGGUCAGUCUUGCUUACUUGAGCAGCUGCCUGAAUCCUUUCUUGUAUAUAUUCAUGUGUGAAGAUUUUCAGAAAAAGCUCAAGCGAUCUUUGGUGAUGGUGUUCGAGAGCGCCUUCACAGAGGAACAACUGGGUCUCCUCUCGCAACAUUCC